This 159-nucleotide non-coding RNA is filed under the name unclassified sequences. The record is from RNAcentral.
UACGCACAUACGUACGUACGUACGUAUGUACGUGCGUACGUACUUGCGUACGUACGUACGUACGUACGUACGUAUGUAUGUACGUACGUACGUACGCACGUACAUAUGUACGUACGCACGUACGUACGUAUGUACAUUACGUACUUAAGUGCGUGCGUG